UAACCACUCAAGCCUCGGCUUGGUCUUGGGGUCCGCGGUCUCGCGGCUCCUAAAUCCAGUGGCGGUGCCGUCUGGCUCUAAGCGUAGUAAUUCUCUCGCUAUAGGGUCCCGGCGGUUGCUUGCCAAAACCCCCCACUUUCUAU
RNAcentral lists this unclassified non-coding RNA (143 nucleotides) under uncultured Meliniomyces. RNAcentral describes it as "sequence contains ITS2". Lineage: Eukaryota; Fungi; Ascomycota; Leotiomycetes; Helotiales; Helotiaceae. The record is from RNAcentral. RNAcentral also lists the same sequence under 1 other name.